This 6128-nucleotide long non-coding RNA is filed under the name Solanum tuberosum (potato). RNAcentral describes it as "long non-coding RNA (STUB_LNC008491)". Lineage: Eukaryota; Viridiplantae; Streptophyta; Magnoliopsida; Solanales; Solanaceae. The record is from RNAcentral.
UCAUAAAAAUUUUGGCAAAAAUAAUGAUUUCCCUCCACGUGCUCUCUUUCCCCCAAUUUUCAAAUAAGCUUUUCCCCUACAUAUUAUUUACUUAAAAAAACAAGACUAUACUCAGCCCUAAAUUUAAUUCCCAAGGGUUUCUACUUCAUCCCUUCAGUUCAACAAGAGAACAAUUGGAUUAUAGGUGGUUUGGUAGAAGAAAUUGUUGGGGGUUUUGUUUUUUUGGGAAUGGAGAGAAAAUAAGUCAUCGGUGCUAAGGAAGAAGUGGUUUCAUAUUGUUGGAUUAUAGGUGGUUUGGUAGAAGAAAUUUUUGGGGUUAUCGUCGGGGAGGUCAGAGCGAAGAGUUCGGUCAUCCUUAACGAGUUUGAUUUGGAGGAAAUAGAAUAGCAGUAGCCAUCUUGUUUCAUCAACUCCGACUCAAGUAGGGUUUCAAUAGUUCUCAAAUUUUAUUUGGAGAAUUUGAACAUCGAGUAGGAUUUCUACCAAAAUUUUAACAUAUUUUGUUAGAUUUAUGUAUGAAUUGUUCAGUAAUCUCUAUUUAUAUUUUUUUUUCAACUUUGUAGAACUAAGGCUUAAAUUCAACCAAAAGAGUCAAUUCUAGUUCUACCCAUUUCCAUGCCUAGUUGAGUUUGUAUUUUGCUUCCUAUGACCACUGCUAUAGGAGCUCUGUGGUUUUGUCUUUCAGUGGUUUGACUUCUUCUUCCUUUUUCAAAUUUUUGGAAUAAUUAGUAUAAUUUGUGUAAAAUAACGAAAGAAAGUUAGGAAAUUAAACUGUCGCUGGUUGUGAAAUUGUUGAUAUAGAUGGACAACCGUAUCUAUAAAUAGAUUGGCUACCCAAGUGAACUACAAAUCAUCUUAUUACUACAUUUAGUUAAGUGGUAAAGGAGGAAGGCAAGAAAAAGGGAAGAUAAAGUAAUAGACAACAAGUUUAUUUUAUUCUUUAGUUCGUUUCAAGUGGUUGAAUGAAAUAAAAUAAAUUGUGAAGGCUACUAUAUGACUUGGGUGUGUGUAUGUCUUUUCGAUAAGUUGGACCUGUGUGCAGUGUGUAUACAUACACGAAUUUGUUCUAAAAAGAAUUCUUUUUAGUUCGACUCGUAUCCCUCUCAUGACACAAAAUCUUACUUAUAUUGUUUAAGUAAACAAUCGAACUUUUAACAUGCAAUGUCAGUUUCUUUCAUAUUUAGUAUUAUUUCAUUAUGUUGAUUCUAUUCUAUAAAUUCAUUUUGCAUUGGAUUCUCAAAAAAUGACUGUCCAGCAGCUGAAAUUAAGCCCACCAAAGAGAUGUCAUUGACUUCAAGGAACUUAAGUUAGUUGAUCACAUUCUUGCUUCUCUGCAACGGAAGGUAAAUGUAACUUCUUAACAUCGGAACUUGUAUGGUCUGCAUGGAGAUUUCUUACCAAAGAUAUAUACGUUAAUCUUUUCCAGUCCAUUUAAAAGUAUAAGGUUGUCAAUUAUAAGCUAAGGAGCUUUAUUUGAGUUGUGAAGUAAUUAUCCCGGAAAAGUCUGAAAUCUUAUUUGCAAUCUUAGGCUUCAUUAAUGGGAAUAUUUGUGUUAAAAUUCAAUAGGUCAAGUUUAAAAAUAGAGAAUACUUCUUUCUAUAUGUGUAGCUACGACUAGUUCAAGAGCAGUACCCUUUGCAACCUCCUCAAGUGUUGUUCCUGACACAAAUAUGUCACAUAAAUAUUCAUUUUAAGGUAUCUUCAAAUUUUAUCUUUUUGUGUUGCUCUUUGGUUUUCUUAAUGAAAUUAAACUUUCAUUUAAGUUUGAUAUCAUGAAGUGCCAAAAGACACUAGUGAAUAUUGCUAUCCAUUUCAUGCUUUAUUAUUUGCUGCUCUUAGUCCUUUGAUAAAGCAAAAUUCUGUAACUGCUGCUGGUGUCUUUCGCUAUGGUAUAGCAAAAGACACAUUAACUCGGCCAUUGUAUUAUGGAAUUAGUAUUCUCACAAAAUAAUCAAUUUCGCUAUGGAAUUAGUAUUAUGGAAUUAGGUUUCCAUCAGGGUUUUUUUUUUACCCUCUUAAGUCUUCUUCUUCUAAAACUUGCCAUUCCUAAUUUUUCAAGUAAAUAGCUUCCUCUUGCCACCAUUGGUAACUGUUGGUGAGUGUAGAAAUGCUGAAUUAUAUCCCAUUUGUGACUCCACUUUGAUAAAUCAUUGGCUUUGCUCAGUGUUAUCAAAGGCGCGCUUUAAGCGCGCUUAAGCCUUGAAGCGACGCUCAAAACGUGAUGAGCGCUUCGACUCGCUUUAUGUGCGCUUCAAUGUCGUCAUCAAGGUUCUAAGGCAAACGUUUACUUGCCAAUGAGCCUCGUAUGAAAAAGUGACACUAAAUAAUUGAUAUUUCACUUUAUCAUAAUUUUUUUUCAAUUUCUUUGGUCAUAUAUUUGUCAUUCAUGUUUAUAAUUAUUAGUCUUGGACGAAACAUAUAUAUUUGUAUUCUUUUCUCCCUUUGCGCAUUUUUUCAUUAAAGCCCACGCUUUAUUUGCGCUUUGCGCUUAAAGCCCUCACGGACGUUAGAGCUUUUUUGCGCUUUUCGCCUUUGAUAACACUGGCUUUGCUGUUAGCUUCCCUAUACAUAUACUUGCAUUGAAAAAAUUCGAGUUGCUUGACCUGCAGAUGAAUUUCCUGAAUGCACUGCUGCAAUUUUCAGUGGGGUUUUGCCUGUAGUGUAAGCCAUUUGGUCAUCAGCUCCGAGUCAACUUCCAGAAGGACCUUCAUGUAACCAUGUUGAGUGCACCAUUAGAGCCCCUGAAUUGCAGCUUGUAGUUCUACUUGGUUGUUAGUUCCUGUGCCAAGUGGUACUGCAAAGGCAUAAAUCAUCCUGCCCUGAGAAUCCCUCAAGAUACCUCCUCCAAUUUUUCCGGGGUUACCUAAGACAUUUCCAUCAGUAUUCAGUUUGUAGAUGUUGUUGGAAGGUUUACUUCACACAACUUUACUGAUUUUCAUCUCUUGACUACACCUCUCCACCAUAGUGAUCAGGUCCUCCAACUGUUAGGACAUUGCAGGUAUGGGAAAACAGUGUGUAGUAGAAGAGUAAGGUCUUGGUACACCAAAUAUUUAACCCUCUUGCUGCUCGACUGUUUGUUCCCAUAUUUUGCCGAGCACCUAUUCUUCCAUGUAUUCCAACAAAUACAGAUAGGAAGUGCCUGGAGAACAGUUUUAAGUACUUCAUUGUGAGCUUUCACAAACCACCAUCUCAUCAGAGUACUUUUGAGGGGAGUCUGGCUAUGUUGAUCCCUAAGUCUGCUGAAAAAUAUUGCCAUAUAUGAUUGGCAAGGUGACCUGAUACAAAGAUAUGGUCAAUGUUGUCCCAACCUUUUCUGAUACAGCAAAAGCACCAGCAAAUGCACCUGGCAGGUUCAACUCCAAAAGAAAUGAGUUUAUCAUUGGUAGGUAAUUUCCCUCUUAAAGCCCUCCACACCAAAAAGGAUAUUUUUUUUUGCCAAGGGUAAGUGUUGGACAUGGUCUUGCAGUUCUUCUUUCUGAUGAUCUCCCAUGCUGAAGCACAUGUGAACUUUCCACUAUCUGUAGGCUGCCAUACUGCUUCAUCUUGUAAACUUUCUUGAAAAUGAAACUGAGUGCUCAAGAUUUUAGGAAUCAAGGAAGGUCAUAACUAAUUAAGUUUGGGAUUAGUUGUUUACUAUAUGUUGUAAUUUGUAUUAGUUAAAAUAUUUUAUGCCAUUAUAGUACUGAAUGUAGGAAGCAUGUUCUUUACAUUACAACUCAUGAGUUUAUGUUAUUAGUAAUAAUGUGGAAUACAAUUAAAAAUUUGGCAUGUCCUAGUUUAGUGUUUGUACAUGUAAAGGCUAAUCCUUUAUUUGGAUUGGAAAUAUAAAUUAUCUAUGCUCCAAUGUGCAGUUUUUCUUAUUUACCCUGAAUAGAGAAAACUAGAUCAUGUAUUUCUAGAUAGACUGAGAAAACUCGAUCAUGUAUUUUCAGAUGGAUUGAGAAAAAUCUCACUAUCUAGGAAUAUAUGUCCUUUUAAAAUGAUUAACACAUCUAUGCAUAUGUAUGUGUCUUUUGCUCUCUUUAUAGGUGUUAGAACUAAAAUUUCAAAAGAGACAGGGACAGGCUGAAUGAAGUUGCUUUGUGAUGAAGUGUAUGUAUUCUUAGCUAAACUUUGCUUCACAAUAUUUGCAUUUGUUAUUUUGCAGAUGGCGAGAUCUGAAUAGGAGACCAGGAAAUUAAAAUUUGUAGAGCUGAUGAAUAAGCACUUCGCUUCAAGUGUAGUUCCUAAAGGUAUUUACUAUCUUUUGCUAUGGUUUAUCGAUGAUUAUUCCUCUGAUGCUCAUACACGCAGCCAGUUGUCGCCGCCAGAACUACGUCCUCUGCUUUCUGAGAACUUGUUGCACCAUAUCUGAUUGUCAACUGAAAACAUCCUAGCUACUUUAUAGUGGUAAAUUCUGUCGUGCAAUCAUUUCUAAAUCUUGAAAAAAAUUGUUUUCCACGACUUGAAUGACUACAAAAAAUUGUUUUCCAUGUCUUUGAUCGUUAUUCUAGUAUUCUUCCUGUUGGUUGUAUUUCAAUGUCUCAAUCAUUUAAUUCACAUGAUGACAGUUCCAUGAGAUCUUUAAAUCGUAACUACUCUUUAUCCUCUCUUUAAAGUUCAUAAAAGUUUUUGUUGCGUACACAGAUGAAAGUAUCAACUAUUCAUUAUGGUGUAAUUGACUUUGUUGUAGUAGAGAAGCUUGGCCUAGAAAAUACAAGUUCUCGCUCGGCUAUGUGGUUUUCUUCAGGUAACUCUUGACAAGCUUCCCUUAAUUUCUUUUUAUUUUGUUGGCUCAUGUAACCAGACUACAUCUUAUUUAUUGAUUUUUUUGGUUCACUAACCUGAUGAGAGUCUUUCUGGCUUAAGUUGCUUGUCUGAAUGUUAUCAUAGUGGCUUGCUUAAGUUUUGAUUGUUAGACCUUUGAACCUUACAAAUACGUUUGCAUUGUUUGCCAUUAAUAUAUGUAUGAUCUUCCACUAGUGAGAAUUUGUUGUACUCACAAAAUCUUAGAUUGAGAAGAUACAAAAUGAUGGAAAUUGCUGGUGCAUAAGGGCAGCAGGUUCUUUAGAAGCCUAGCAAGCCAAUCUCUCAUGCUUUUCUCAAGGUUAAAUUCUUAAGUCAAACCUAGAAGCUAUCAUUCAAAUGCAAAGCCAAGUGGAAGUCGCAGAAGAUAUAUAGUGUGAUCCUUAGGAAAAACACAUAUUUUCUCUAGUGAUAUAAUAGACUUUUGCGCCUAGAAGACUUACUGAGGCAAGGAUUGAUGACACAAAUGAUUGAUCUACUAACAACCCACUCAUGUCUGUCUAAUUUUACUGAUCAUUUGUACCAUCUUGCACACAAUUGAACAGUCUAAUACAAACCCCUUUUGGCAUUUAAAGAACCAUUUGAGGAUGAAAAAAGACAAAUAAAAGCAUGAUGAAUAGCCAUUUCUUUAGAAAAUGAACAUUAACCAAAGCUUGCUAGCUUAUUUCCAUAUUUCUUUUUUCAUAAAACAACUACCGCAAACAUAUUGAGAAGUUUGCAGUUAAUUUUAAUGCAAAAAGUCUGCUAGCUUAUUUACUACUUACUAGCUAAUAUUAACAUUAUGUCUAGUCCAUGGUUUCCAAAUAAUAGAGUAUUUAUUUGGUACACACAUUGCUUAAGAACUAAAAUCAAAGUUUUUGUAUAGAUCUUGUGUUCAGGAUAAACUCGAAGAUUAGUCACUGUGGUUGUACCAUUAUAAAAUCUAUUUCAGUUUGGAAUUAGUCAAUAUGCUAGUAUCUUAGGUGUUUGUUGGUGGUUAUCAUGAUUCCCUUUGAAAGCUGUUAUUUUUUUCGAGAUAGAAGCACACUCUUACCACAAUAUUACGAGUGAUCAUAGUUUGAUUUCUAUCUGAUUAUUAAAUUAAUGUCUUUUUAUCUGUAGGAGAAUGGUGAUGCAAUUGACGAUGGUGGCAGAAAGUUAAUUUGAUCUAUUAAUGCGCAUGAUGAAGACUUUUGAAUAAUUAGGAUGUCUAUUAAUUUUAAAGUUCAUUGUUAGUGGGAAUUUUGAUACAUAUAUUUUAUUAGUAUGUUUAGUACAGGACCAAGUGAAGUCAAAUUGCAAGUAUAUAUAAAUUUGAUUUAUUUUUUUGAUAUUUAUUACUUUAGUUUUUGAUAUCAUCAAAA